RNAcentral lists this transfer RNA (88 nucleotides) under Actinomycetota bacterium. RNAcentral describes it as "Actinobacteria bacterium (soil metagenome) tRNA-Tyr". It matches the Rfam family "tRNA". Rfam says of the family: Transfer RNA (tRNA) molecules are approximately 80 nucleotides in length. Their secondary structure includes four short double-helical elements and three loops (D, anti-codon, and T loops). Further hydrogen bonds mediate the characteristic L-shaped molecular structure. tRNAs have two regions of fundamental functional importance: the anti-codon, which is responsible for specific mRNA codon recognition, and the 3' end, to which the tRNAs corresponding amino acid is attached (by aminoacyl-tRNA synthetases). tRNAs cope with the degeneracy of the genetic code in two manners: having more than one tRNA (with a specific anti-codon) for a particular amino acid; and 'wobble' base-pairing, i.e. permitting non-standard base-pairing at the 3rd anti-codon position. The record is from RNAcentral. Lineage: Bacteria; Bacillati; Actinomycetota.
GCGUCGGUGGCAGAGCGGACGAAUGCGCCUGACUGUAGAUCAGGAGCCCUCAGGGGCCACGGUGGUUCGAAUCCAUCCCGGCGCACCA